CUCGGUGCUUUUCAGGUUCCCUCAUCCACUGCUGGUGAGGAUGUGAGCUUGUGCAUCCCGCGAGUCCUCAAAGAUCUAAAGAUAGAACAGCUGCCUGGCGCAGCCACAUCGCUCCUGAGCGCAGGCCCGGGGGAACAAUGGGCAGCACACGGCCGUGGUGCCCGCACAGCUUUGAUCAUUGUGGCACCAUUCACAGGCGCCCAGGUGUGGAGCCAGCCUAGGUGUUCACCAGCAGAUGAGUGGAAGAGGGAAUGUGGUUUAUACGCAGGGGAGUUUUAUUUAGCCUCGUGGAUGGAAGUUUCGGAAAAACCCGUCUGCACAGCCUCAAUGAACAAGGAAACGAUAUCACACAGGCUACCUAGGCAUCUCUAUGGGGAAGGCAGAACCCUGAGGAGGAGAGCAUGGCUGUGGCAGGGCCCCUACGUGUCACUUCCCAUCAGAGCUGGCCAUUGUGACAGUGGGCAUGGGGUCUUGUGGUUGAAUGGCUCAACUCUACCUGGAGGGUGAGCUGCUUCUUGUGGAUAAAGUGUAGAGCAGCUUUGCGUUCAGAAGAUGCCAUUAACCUUCUAGUUUUCCUUCACUGGGUGGUGGGGCUAACGCAGGGGAAUUUGAGCUAUGUAUGCCAGACUAGUCUCAAACUCAUGAUCUUCCUGCCUCUGCCUUCCAAGUGCCAAGAUUAUAAGCAUGACUCCAUGCUA
Long non-coding RNA from Mesocricetus auratus (golden hamster), 698 nucleotides. RefSeq lists it as uncharacterized. The record is from RefSeq and is a predicted model, not a curated record. NCBI's taxonomy places the organism in Eukaryota, Metazoa, Chordata, Mammalia, Rodentia, Cricetidae. The transcript is spliced from 2 exons.